UGGGGAAUUUUGGACAAUGGGCGAAAGCCUGAUCCAGCAAUGCCGCGUGUGUGAAGAAGGCCUUCGGGUUGUAAAGCACUUUUGUCCGGAAAGAAAUCCUUGGCUCUAAUACAGUCGGGGGAUGACGGUACCGGAAGAAUAAGCACCGGCUAACUACGUGCCAGCAGCCGCGGUAAUACGUAGGGUGCAAGCGUUAAUCGGAAUUACUGGGCGUAAAGCGUGCGCAGGCGGUUUGCUAAGACCGAUGUGAAAUCCCCGGGCUCAACCUGGGAACUGCAUUGGUGACUGGCAGGCUAGAGUAUGGCAGAGGGGGGUAGAAUUCCACGUGUAGCAGUGAAAUGCGUAGAGAUGUGGAGGAAUACCGAUGGCGAAGGCAGCCCCCUGGGCCAAUACUGACGCUCAUGCACGAAAGCGAUGGGGAGCAAAACGAGGAUUAAGAUGACCCUGGUAGUCCACGCCCUAAACGAUGUCAACUAGUUGUUGGGGAUUGCAUUUCCUUAGUAACGUAGCUAACGCGUGAAGUUGACCGCCUGGGGAGUACGGUCGCAAGAUUAAAACUCAAAUGAAUUGAC
This 572-nucleotide ribosomal RNA is filed under the name uncultured bacterium. RNAcentral describes it as "partial 16S ribosomal RNA". It matches the Rfam family "Bacterial small subunit ribosomal RNA", at positions 355 to 914 of the family's 1533-position model. The record is from RNAcentral.